AAUUGCCAUCAUUAAGUUGGGCACUUUAAAGAGACUGCCGGUGUUAAACCGGAGGAAGUGGGGAUGACGUCAAGUCCUCAUGGCCUUUAUGUCCAGGGCUACACACGUGCUACAAUGGGUGGUACAAAGAGCAGCGACCUCGCGAGUGGAAGCAAAUCUCAAAAAGCCAUCCUAAGUUCGGAUUGGAGUCUGCAACUCGACUCCAUGAAGUCGGAAUCGCUAGUAAUCGCGGAUCAGCACGCCGCGGUGAAUACGUUCCCGGGCCUU
RNAcentral lists this ribosomal RNA (267 nucleotides) under uncultured Syntrophaceae bacterium. RNAcentral's name for it is "partial 16S ribosomal RNA". It matches the Rfam family "Bacterial small subunit ribosomal RNA", at positions 1113 to 1382 of the family's 1533-position model. Lineage: Bacteria; Pseudomonadati; Thermodesulfobacteriota; Syntrophia; Syntrophales; Syntrophaceae. The record is from RNAcentral.